GUGGGGCAUGGUGACACAUGCUUAUAAUCCCUACUACCAGAGAGAACAACGUUGAUGAAUUGCUUGAGCUCGGAAAUUCUAAACUCUAGUAGGGUUAAGUAUAAUCAGGUGUCUGAACUAAGUCUAGCAAAAAUAUGGUAAGCUCCUAGGAGUGGGGGGCACCAGGCUGCUCAAGGAAAGGUAAACUGGCCCAAGGGUAGAAAUGCAGCAGGUCAGAAUAUCUGUGCUGUUCAGUAGUGGGAUCAUACCUGUGAGUGGCUACUCUACUUUCAGCCUUGGUGGGAUAGGGACACCCAAUCU
Vombatus ursinus (common wombat) is the source of this 300-nucleotide unclassified non-coding RNA. It matches the Rfam family "Metazoan signal recognition particle RNA". Rfam says of the family: The signal recognition particle (SRP) is a universally conserved ribonucleoprotein. It is involved in the co-translational targeting of proteins to membranes. The record is from Ensembl. Lineage: Eukaryota; Metazoa; Chordata; Mammalia; Diprotodontia; Vombatidae.